GACGAACGCUGGCGGCGUGCUUAACACAUGCAAGUCGAACGGAAAGGCCCUGCUUUUGUGGGGUGCUCGAGUGGCGAACGGGUGAGUAACACGUGAGUAACCUGCCCUUGACUUUGGGAUAACUUCAGGAAACUGGGGCUAAUACCGGAUAGGAGCUCCUGCUGCAUGGUGGGGGUUGGAAAGUUUCGGCGGUUGGGGAUGGACUCGCGGCUUAUCAGCUUGUUGGUGGGGUAGUGGCUUACCAAGGCUUUGACGGGUAGCCGGCCUGGGAGGGUGACCGGCCACAUUGGGACUGAGAUACGGCCCAGACUCCUACGGGAGGCAGCAGUGGGGAAUAUUGCACAAUGGGCGGAAGCCUGAUGCAGCAACGCCGCGUGCGGGAUGACGGCCUUCGGGUUAUAAACCGCUUUCGCCUGUGACGAAGCGUGAGUGACGGUAAUGGGUAAAGAAGCACCGGCUAACUACGUG
This 468-nucleotide ribosomal RNA is filed under the name uncultured bacterium. RNAcentral's name for it is "partial 16S ribosomal RNA". It matches the Rfam family "Bacterial small subunit ribosomal RNA", at positions 28 to 507 of the family's 1533-position model. The record is from RNAcentral.